Molecule: long non-coding RNA, 1902 nt
Filed under: Marmota monax (woodchuck)
Lineage: Eukaryota; Metazoa; Chordata; Mammalia; Rodentia; Sciuridae
Source: RNAcentral
UCUCUGGCUGUGUUUUCAUUGAAGUUGAACUUGAAUUUAGGAAGGACCAAGACUGCCUCCACUUUUGAUGUUAGAACCGUACAUUGAGAAGCAGUGAACCAAAAAUAGAUUAACCUAGGGUGCUGGGGGUCAAGUGCCCUCCAAGAUAACUGGAGAUGGACAGAUGUUUCAAAACCCAAAUGUUCCCUGAAAAAGUAACAAUUCCAUAUAAACCUGAGAAACUAUUUUCUAGGAGAGACAAGAAAUGUGGACAAGUUGAAGGGAGGGAAGAAGGUAGUGGGGGACCCUUGUGCUGAGGGUUGUAUUUUCUUGGUUCUAUGCAAACUUCUGCUUGUUCCAAACAUCUGAAUGAAGCCCCAGAGUGUCUGUCUGCUGGGUUGGGGUGAGGGAAGGCACUGAGACAGGUCCUCUCAGCAUAGAAAGUGUCGCAGAGGGAGGAAGCCCCUCCUUCACACCCACACAGCCACACCACUUCCUGUCCGCUAUCCUGCCCCGUUUUGCACCAGCCUAGCCUUGAAGCUUGGGGUUUCCAUCACUAAACUGGGGCCCCAAAUUUUGACCCCAAACCUUGGUUAAGAAUGAUGACUCUAACAGACUGGAAAGCAAGAGACUAAAAGCCCCUGUCUUCUUUCCCAUCACUGCUGGGGUCUCCACAAACCCACGUAUAUUUACUGACACCAGGCUGUGGGCUUUGUCCCAGAAAGAGCUAGAAGAAAAGGGGCAGCCCUAACUCUCACUGACAGGCCUUCCCUCCCUCAGUACCCAGGAAGUCCUGUCAGAGUCAUCCCUUGUGCAAGAAGGAGGCUUGUAAGAGAGACCCAGGGAGCAAAAGCAAGAAGGGAGAAUGGAAAGGAGGAAGGAAGGGUAACAGAAAGAGAAGACAGUAGUGGGGACCCUUGUGCUCUGAACCUAAUCAUCCCUUCUCCUGAAGAUGUUAUGCUGAAUCAGGGGUGCUGUGUCGUAGGAAGCCCCUCAGUAAUGAACUUUUCUAGACUGCCCAUCCUGAUGAAAUUGUCCUACCCUAUCUCUCUCGGUGGGGAGACUGGUGUGGUCACCACUGCCAUCACAAACAUCAUCAUCAUUAGCGUGGCCCAUACCAAACAUCUGUACUUAGCAGGUGGUGGUGUGCUUGGUGUGGACACGCUUGACUGGUUCAUACCCUGAAUCCUGGCUGUGUUCAGAAAAGCCUCUGCCCCUUGAGACAGUUCACCAGCACUUUGGGGUGUUCUAGCAUGACCCUUUCUGGUACAAUAUUCUUCAGAAGAUCAGAAAUGUCAUCACAGAUCAGAACUGAAGACUACUAACCCAGAAUUUUGACCACAGCCCUGAGGGAAAGUGCUAGGGAGAGUCCAGUGUUUGCAUCCUGAAAGACCAGGCAUGCUCUUGGAAGUUCCCUGAUUUCCCUGAACAAUCUGCCACCUAAUCUAUCCAUACAUUAUCAAGAUUUCUGGAACAGGUUUUGCAAUUGCCUUGGAUAGGGUCUAUAACCUUCUCUGCUCCGAAUUUGCCUGGUACCAUCUGAUCUUGGGAAGACUAGUUCUUGAGCACUGGAGCACUGGUUGCCUAGAAGCCUAGAAAGCAGGAUCCGAAUUUGUGAGAAUUCACGGAGCUUCAUAGAAGUCUUUCCUCCAGGCCAGUGGCAAGGCAAAAAAGAACCUUCCAGAAUGUCGCAAACCCACAGAAGGCUCAAUUCACCAGGCAGUACUUUUUGAAAUUGAGAAAGCAAGUAAGUUUGAGAAACACCGGUGAUGGCCAGUGUCCUGAGGUUAGAGAAUGGGAAGAACAAGUGAAUGUACUUCACCACAGCUCUUCAACGGUCCCAGCAAAUACGUGAAUGAACUAUUAGUUAAUGUCUAAUAAUCUUUAUUGGCAAUGCCCCAUUCUAAUAAUUAAUUUCUUAGG